RNAcentral lists this microRNA (20 nucleotides) under Bombyx mori (domestic silkworm). RNAcentral describes it as "bmo-miR-2805". Lineage: Eukaryota; Metazoa; Arthropoda; Insecta; Lepidoptera; Bombycidae. The record is from miRBase by way of RNAcentral.
UUCCUGACGAACCACGGAAA